GGCCAGCGCCGCCGCACUACAUUUCCCAGAAUGCUUUGCCGGCCCAGGAUGACUUUUGCCAUAGCAACAGCGGCAGGAGGGGCCCCAGUGAAGCCUGGGGAGAAGAGUCUUCACGGGAUUGGCCAAGAGGCGAAGAGAGGCGGGGCCAUGUAGGAGACAGGCGGCACCCAAGCGACUUCCGCUUCCUCCUUUCUUCCUCGCUACUCCGCCAUCAGACCGGUCCGGACCCCUGCCGACUUCGGAUGCUCGCGGCCUGCUCGGCUCCGCCACGUACUCAGCCACUGCCAGUGCCCAAGCCCCGCGUCCAGGGCCGGGAUUGGGAGGUGGCUCCUGAAACCAAGGAGUCAUCUCCAAAGCUGGGCUUCUCUAUGGAACAGUCAUCCCAGGAAAUACUCACAUGGGAUCGGCCCUGUGUUUCUAGUUUGGGAGAAACUUCAGAAUGUGAUGCCAGGCUAGAGAAGCAGCCGAGGAAAGUAGUGAGACAUCCUCGAAGCAUUUUAUCUCAAGGAAGAGAGAUGGCACGAAACUUCUCUAAGUGGAGACUCAGACUGGACUCUCCGGACUCCAGCCGGAAGUGAGGUCACGCUCCAGGAGUCCUCCAGAGGAUCCAGACUGUCAGCCAUCAGGUUCAGGUCACCAGGACGUCAGCUGAGGCACUGACCAGCACGUGAAAUGAGACUCGUCAGGGUGACAAGAAAACCGGACUGGCCGUUGCAGAACAAUGCAGUGCUGGACAGUGAUAUUUUUAAAGGGGGGAGGGGUAAACAAGCAGAGGUGGGAUGUCCUGGGUCAUUAUUGGAGACACCUCUGGGGGUCUGUGGGCAUGAUGGGGAGAUGGAAGGAGUGAGAAAGGUGCCUUACUUACUGAAUAAUAAGUCUCCUAUCAAAGAAGGGGUGUGUGUGUGUGUGUGUGUGUGUGUGUGUGUGUGUGUGACAGAGAGAGAGAGAAAAGCUAUUUCCUUAUAGCUACUGGCCAGGGCUAUUUGAAGUAUUACUCUCUGGUCCCAAUGGCCUGGACCAAGUGAGUGUCAGAGAGUAGCCAGUUCCAAGGCUUUGAGUGUCUUCUUCCAGCAGAUGACCUUGGACUCCAGCCCUGAUUCAUCUUGGAGCACCAGCUGGCUACAGGACAUCUCAUGUCUCCUUGCGUGUGCCAGGGCCACCACCCUUCAUCUCACCUCCUGGUUUCAAACCUCGGUGCUAUUUUUACCUCUUCUCUUCUGAUCUGUUCCCAAGUCCUUUCGAUUCUACCUCUGUGGUCUCUCUCACACACGUCCUUUCCUCUCUGCUCACCUGGCCGCUACCUUCCUCAGCGCCUGUUUGGAUUAUGCGGUUGCCACUUAAGAAGUAUUCUUCCCUGGCCUGCCUUCUCUCUCCACUGCCACUUGUAUCUUCCUCAUGACCUCAUCAUGUGACAUACUCAGAAAUCAUUGACGGUUCCCUAUUGCCUGCAGAGUAAUUGUCAAACUCCUUUUGACUGGUAUUUAAGGUCUUUCCAAAUCUAGUGCCAAGCAACCUACCCAAGUUUGUCUCAUCCUGUUCCCCUUGACCUCCUCCAUGGUCUAGCCCCACUGGAUUGGUGGUUGUCCCACAAACACACCCUCCAUUUUUGGGCUGCUCUGCUUUUGCUUACGGUGCUUUCUGUGCCUGGACCAUAGGCUCUCCUCCCUUCCACCCGCUGACUUCUUGAAGGUCCUUCAAAGCCAGACUUGGAUGUCACUGCCCCUCCCCCCAAGACCUUGCAUAGCACUUUGUUUCUAUUUAUGUAUUCUUUCGUCUUGUAGUCACUUGUGUCUGUGUCGCAUCCAUGAGGAGAGGGCCUGUGUUUUAUUUAACCUUUGUGUGUCCCCCAGGAUCUGGCACAAGGCUCUGUACUCAAUUAAUGAAUAAUAAAUGUUGAUUGACUUGACUUGACUAUGAAGCA
RNAcentral lists this long non-coding RNA (1921 nucleotides) under Vombatus ursinus (common wombat). RNAcentral describes it as "lncRNA (ENSVURG00010014556.1)". Lineage: Eukaryota; Metazoa; Chordata; Mammalia; Diprotodontia; Vombatidae. The record is from RNAcentral.